GAAUUUAGAAAAAAAAAAAAAAAUCAGUUUCCCAAUAGUCAUUUAUCAUUAACUUUUUUUUUAGCGUCAAUUAAAUAUUUGCACAGGGCCAGUGACGUGACAGUAAAGACGAGCAGGUGUAAAUUGUA
This is a long non-coding RNA of Syngnathus acus (greater pipefish), 128 nucleotides long. RefSeq lists it as uncharacterized. The transcript has 3 exons. The record is from RefSeq and is a predicted model, not a curated record. NCBI's taxonomy places the organism in Eukaryota, Metazoa, Chordata, Actinopteri, Syngnathiformes, Syngnathidae.